This 480-nucleotide ribosomal RNA is filed under the name uncultured bacterium. RNAcentral's name for it is "partial 16S ribosomal RNA". It matches the Rfam family "Bacterial small subunit ribosomal RNA", at positions 28 to 523 of the family's 1533-position model. The record is from RNAcentral.
GAUGAACGCUGGCGGCGUGCUUAACACAUGCAAGUCGAGCGAUGAAGUUUCCUUCGGGAAACGGAUUAGCGGCGGACGGGUGAGUAACACGUGGGUAACCUGCCUCAUAGAGUGGAAUAGCCUUCCGAAAGGAAGAUUAAUACCGCAUAACGUUGAAAGAUGGCAUCAUCAUUCAACCAAAGGAGCAAUCCGCUAUGAGAUGGACCCGCGGCGCAUUAGCUAGUUGGUGGGGUAACGGCCUACCAAGGCGACGAUGCGUAGCCGACCUGAGAGGGUGAUCGGCCACAUUGGGACUGAGACACGGCCCAGACUCCUACGGGAGGCAGCAGUGGGGAAUAUUGCACAAUGGGGGAAACCCUGAUGCAGCAACGCCGCGUGAGUGAUGAAGGUUUUCGGAUCGUAAAGCUCUGUCUUUGGGGAAGAUAAUGACGGUACUCAAGGAGGAAGCCACGGCUAACUACGUGCCAGCAGCCGCGGUAA